GACGGGGGGGGCAAGUGUUCUUCGGAAUGACUGGGCGUCAAGGGCACGUAGGCGGUGAAUCGGGUUGAAAGUGAAAGUCGCCAAAAAGUGGCGGAAUGCUCUCGAAACCAAUUCACUUGAGUGGGACAGAGGAGAGUGGAAUUUCGUGUGUAGGGGUGAAAUCCGUAGAUCUACGAAGGAAGGCCAAAAGCGAAGGCAGUUCUCUGGGUCCCUACCGACGCUGGGGUGCGAAAGCAUGGGGAGCGAACAGG
This 251-nucleotide ribosomal RNA is filed under the name uncultured bacterium. RNAcentral describes it as "partial 16S ribosomal RNA". It matches the Rfam family "Bacterial small subunit ribosomal RNA", at positions 524 to 776 of the family's 1533-position model. The record is from RNAcentral.